RNAcentral lists this ribosomal RNA (253 nucleotides) under uncultured bacterium. RNAcentral describes it as "partial 16S ribosomal RNA". It matches the Rfam family "Bacterial small subunit ribosomal RNA", at positions 524 to 776 of the family's 1533-position model. The record is from RNAcentral.
UACGUAGGUGGCAAGCGUUGUUCGGAAUUACUGGGCGUAAAGCGCGUGUAGGCGGCUUGGCAAGUCGGAUGUGAAAGCCCACGGCUCAACCGUGGAAGCGCAUCCGAAACGGCCUCGCUCGAGUCUCGGAGAGGAAGGUGGAAUGCUUGGUGUAGAGGUGAAAUUCGUAGAUAUCAAGCAGAACACCUGCGGCGAAGGCGGCCUUCUGGACGAUGACUGACGCUGAGACGCGAAAGCGUGGGGAGCAAACAGG